Monomorium pharaonis (pharaoh ant) is the source of this 1466-nucleotide long non-coding RNA. RefSeq lists it as uncharacterized. The record is from RefSeq and is a predicted model, not a curated record. The transcript is spliced from 4 exons. NCBI's taxonomy places the organism in Eukaryota, Metazoa, Arthropoda, Insecta, Hymenoptera, Formicidae.
CAGCGCCGGCCGGACGUGGUCGGACGUUCCGUUGACUCUGUGCGUGUCUCGCGUGUGUCUCGCGUAUUCAGAAUUCGAAUUGUACGCAGCUACGAUGUUGAGACUGUCGAGAGUGCCGUCGCGAGCCAUGUGAGAUGGUUUCGUUUCGUGACGGAUGGCUCAUGGUCCUCAUGGAUAGACAGAGCGUGAGUGUGCCUCGGGCUUGGAAUCACAGCUGCCAGUACAUUGCCACUUUCAUAAUUGAUACUACGUGGCAUAUCUAUUUUGUGGCACUGCCAAUAAAAUCAGCGGAUCGCCGAAAUGGAUGUGAUUCGAGUCUGUGCUAAAACCUGCGUGGAGUGCUGUUAUAAGACUUUCAAAGAUGGUGACACGGGUAUGAUAUCUGCAGCGACGUGAUUAAAGAUCUUAAUGAAGAGUAGCGGAUCAAUCAUAUACAACGCAUACGAUAGCUUUAUCGUGAAGAUCAUGUUAUCUCAGGAACGUAAUGUAAGCCGGACAUUUGGUCGAAAAAUGGGACGCACUACUUUUGAACGGCCAUUCGAUCGCCGAUAUGUUUUUCAUGGUGCCGGAUUAUGACGGGCGAUCUGUCACGGUCACCGUAACAGUAACUCCAAGGGGUUGAAAAGGGCUUAAUGCUUCUCCUGGAUAGCGCAAGAAAGAGUUGCGCGUGUGGAGAAUGGGGGAGGGGUACGUUACACCAUAUCAAAAUGGCCACAGCUUAGGGGUCCUGUGCUACCCCGAUAUAUCAUCGUUAGAGAACUUUGGACGGCUUCCUGGUUCCAGCAUUGAUGGCUUCCUCCGAUACGACAUGAUGUAUCUGUUCUUCAUUGCUGCGGCGUGGAAAUGAGAAUCGGAUGCAAUUUGAAACUCGCAUGAACCUAAUGUCCGCCGGCUGGAAGCUAACGCCUGGCUGCCGAAGGUAAUGCAACGGAUAAUGCGGCAAGUUUGCUAGCGAGGAAUUACGUGACCAGCUCUCAGUUUCGGCUUCCGAGCCUAGGUACCAGCCGUACUGCAGCUAAGUAACGCGCCAUACUUCUCAGGUAUUCAGACAACGGGACUAAUUGUAAGUAGCUAACGUAAGCUUACGUGAUACUAAGAAAUUUCAAUUUGGCAUUCAAAGCUAUUUGCAAAUUACGAGAGAGCUUGCUUAUCUCAUCAGCUUUGACAAAAUAACGUAUUCUAUAUACAAAAAAAUGUGGAAGAGACUCAAGAUGUUUUAAUGUCACUCUCAGACAAUUUGAGAGUUUUUUUUACCGUUAUUAACUAUUAAUUGUAGAUAAGAAUUAAACAUCCUGUAAAAUUCUUAUCAGCUGGAGAUUUGAUAUCAAUCUGGCUGAAGAGCAAUUUUCCAAGUGAAAGCAGUUAUUAUUGAAAAGAAGGACGAAUCGAGCGAUCAAUCUAAGAAUUUCGUAUUCUCUAUUGGAAACGCAGCUCGGACGAACAUCCAAUUUCAUUUAAUCAUAUUC